AGAGGAGAAAACAGAGAGGGCAUAGGAUUUAUGCAGCUGAUGAACAGCAGAAUCUGGAAAUAGACCUCAGUAAAGUAUGUCCCCAACACCUAGCACAGUGGGCUAUACCUGGAAAGUGAUUCAGAAAUCUUUAUUGAACAGAAAAAGAAAGACUUCCACUCCCUUCUCUGCCAGUACCUGGGACAAGGGCCCCAUGAAGCAAUUUCACCCCUGCAGGGAUGCUGAAGGAGGCCUGUGGAAGAUACCAAUUUACCAUACUGAGUUUCUCCCUCUGAGAUCCUCCUGCAAGCGUGAUCAGGAAAGGGGAGAAUGAGAGGCUGCUUUGCCUUCUUCCAAGGCCUGAGAUUGGUGGGGGGGUGCGGGGGGUGGAGCAGAGAUGGAAGGCUCAGUAUUUCCCCUGGCCCACAGGCCUGCUGGCUGGUCAACCAGGCCCCUCCUCUGGGAUAAGCUGGUGGGGGGGGGAAGCAUCUGAGCCCAUGCCCCAGCUCCUCAACUACCUCUUUGUAAAAGGGAGCGCCUGUCCCCUGCCACCUGUUCUUAAUCUAGCCCUGGGUAAUCCAUUCUGUACUGUGUCAGCAGUUCAAAAGGGCACUGUUAGUAUUUUUUGCCGACUUCAAUUAACGUGAGAUUUCCGAGGCCCCCCCUCCGAUCACAUUUCACAUGUCACAAGUUGGGAACAAAACAGACAGACUCCAGUUGGGAGGAGAGAGGAGAAGUUUAUUCCAACAACAACCAAGCAAAUUAUUUGGGCCGGUGUCCAGUGAUGGGAGACUCUGGGAAAGCCCAGCUGCUCCGGCUCUCCAUUUUGUCCCAGAACACACCCAGAAGCCCCUUCCGAAGAUGUCCCCCCUCCCCAAAUUAUGUAAGUGCAAUAACUUACUUUCAGUGAAAUAAACCAAAGGCAAGAACAUUUUUUUCUUAAUAUUUUGCGGCAAUGAACUUGUAGUACAUGGUGGUAUAAGGCAAUAAAACUUUAUUGAGUCAA
Molecule: non-coding RNA, 985 nt
Organism: Phascolarctos cinereus (koala)
Lineage: Eukaryota; Metazoa; Chordata; Mammalia; Diprotodontia; Phascolarctidae
Source: RefSeq, a predicted model, not a curated record